Molecule: unclassified non-coding RNA, 290 nt
Filed under: Russula pulverulenta
Lineage: Eukaryota; Fungi; Basidiomycota; Agaricomycetes; Russulales; Russulaceae
Description: partial internal transcribed spacer region
Rfam family: Eukaryotic small subunit ribosomal RNA (bases 1-46)
Source: RNAcentral
AAGUCGUAACAAGGUUUCCGUAGGUGAACCUGCGGAAGGAUCAUUAUCGUACAAUGGAGGUGCUGGGGUUGUCGCUGACUUUUCAAAGGGUCGUGCACACCUCGGUGCUCUCGUACAAAAUCCAAUUCACCCCUUUGUGCAUCACCGCGUGGGGGCCCCUUUUGGUUAGUUCUGAGGGGGGCGUUCACGUUUUUAUACAAACACCCUUUUAAUGCAAUAUGUAGAAUGUCUUACUUUUUUGCGAUCACACGCAAUUAAUACAACUUUCAACAACGGAUCUCUUGGCUCUC